Molecule: transfer RNA, 107 nt
Filed under: Coniochaeta sp. 2T2.1
Lineage: Eukaryota; Fungi; Ascomycota; Sordariomycetes; Coniochaetales; Coniochaetaceae
Rfam family: tRNA
About the family: Transfer RNA (tRNA) molecules are approximately 80 nucleotides in length. Their secondary structure includes four short double-helical elements and three loops (D, anti-codon, and T loops). Further hydrogen bonds mediate the characteristic L-shaped molecular structure. tRNAs have two regions of fundamental functional importance: the anti-codon, which is responsible for specific mRNA codon recognition, and the 3' end, to which the tRNAs corresponding amino acid is attached (by aminoacyl-tRNA synthetases). tRNAs cope with the degeneracy of the genetic code in two manners: having more than one tRNA (with a specific anti-codon) for a particular amino acid; and 'wobble' base-pairing, i.e. permitting non-standard base-pairing at the 3rd anti-codon position.
Source: Rfam by way of RNAcentral
GGGACCAUGGCGCAGUUGGCUAGCGCGCAGGUCUCAUACACUGUAUGAUCAGCCCGUUCACGAGUUGAGUAAUCCUGAGGUCGGGAGUUCGAGCCUCCCUGGUCCCA